This 853-nucleotide ribosomal RNA is filed under the name uncultured Gammaproteobacteria bacterium. Its description in RNAcentral is "bacterial SSU rRNA". It matches the Rfam family "Bacterial small subunit ribosomal RNA", at positions 35 to 883 of the family's 1533-position model. The record is from RNAcentral. Lineage: Bacteria; Pseudomonadati; Pseudomonadota; Gammaproteobacteria.
GCUGGCGGUAGGCUUAACACAUGCAAGUCGUGCGAGAAAGUAUCUUCGGAUAUGAGUAGAGCGGCGGACGGGUGAGUAACGCGUAGGAAUCUACCUAGUAGAAGGGGAUAGCCCGGGGAAACUCGGAUUAAUACCGUAUACCUCCUUCGGGAGAAAGAAGGCCUCUCUUUGAAGCUUUCGCUAUUAGAUGAGCCUGCGUAAGAUUAGCUUGUUGGUGAGGUAAAGGCUCACCAAGGCGACGAUCUUUAGCGGGUCUGAGAGGACGAUCCGCCACAUUGGGACUGAGACACGGCCCAGACUCCUACGGGAGGCAGCAGUGGGGAAUAUUGGACAAUGGGCGCAAGCCUGAUCCAGCCAUACCGCGUGUGUGAAGAAGGCCCUAGGGUUGUAAAGCACUUUAAGUUGGGAAGAAAAGUUAUUGGUUAAUACCCAAUAACCGUGACAUUACCUUCAGAAUAAGGACCGGCUAAUUCCGUGCCAGCAGCCGCGGUAAUACGGAAGGUCCAAGCGUUAAUCGGAAUUACUGGGCGUAAAGCGCGCGUAGGUGGUUUAUUAAGUUGGAUGUGAAAUCCCCGGGCUCAACCUGGGAACUGCAUCCAAAACUGAUUCACUAGAGUACGAUAGAGGGAGGUAGAAUUCACAGUGUAGCGGUGGAAUGCGUAGAUAUUGUGAAGAAUACCAAUGGCGAAGGCAGCCUCCUGGAUCUGUACUGACACUAAGGUGCGAAAGCGUGGGUAGCGAACAGGAUUAGAUACCCUGGUAGUCCACGCCGUAAACGAUGUCAACUAGCUGUUGGGAAACAAUGUUUUUCAGUGGCGCAGCUAACGUAGUAAGUUGACCGCCUGGGGAGUAC